AAGUCGUAACAAGGUUUCCGUAGGUGAACCUGCGGAAGGAUCAUUACCUGAUUGGGGGUAGACUCGGUGCGACGAGCUCUCGCUCGCGUCCGCCGGUUGGCCCCCUGAGGCGCUGCCCUCGAACCCUUGGCUACAAGCACCAACCUUGAUAUCUCGGCGGAGACGUCCGCCGGCAGAAUCCCCCCAAAAACCUGUCCUCGGCUUAACCCUUCUGAUACUAACGUCAAAUCGUUACAACUUUCAACAAUGGAUCUCUUGGUUCUG
RNAcentral lists this unclassified non-coding RNA (264 nucleotides) under air metagenome. RNAcentral describes it as "partial contains small subunit ribosomal RNA, internal transcribed spacer 1, and 5.8S ribosomal RNA". The stretch from base 1 to 46 matches the Rfam family "Eukaryotic small subunit ribosomal RNA", at positions 1786 to 1831 of the family's 1831-position model. The record is from RNAcentral.